ACUGCACGUUGUUAGAGCUCAGAGUCAAGGCCGCUGGUGGCCGAGGAACUCAUGAGUGGAGGCAGUGUGUUACAUGAGGGGCAGGUUGUCACCAACACCGCAAGGGGCUCUGGCCCAACGACUGGAGUCUGAUAGUAAUCCUUGCCACAAGU
This is a small nucleolar RNA of Artibeus jamaicensis (Jamaican fruit-eating bat), 152 nucleotides long. Lineage: Eukaryota; Metazoa; Chordata; Mammalia; Chiroptera; Phyllostomidae. The record is from RefSeq and is a predicted model, not a curated record.